UAGCGGUUACUCCGGGCGGGCAGUUCAAACAGGAGGAGGGUCAGGCGGCUGCCCCACUCGAAGCUGGCGUGGGGGUUGCCAUAGCCCGCAUCCCAGGGGACGAGGCCGAGGCUCUUCCCUGGCGCUUUCAGCGGCGGCUGCCCGGCUCCUCUCCCACCUGUGCUCCUCGGCGCCUCGCCCGGCUCCGCGGCCUCCAGGCGGGCGGCGCGGGGAUCCCAGACGAGUAUCAGCUAGCGGGUCUCCAGGCGGCCCUGGCCGCAGCCCCGGCCCCGUGUCCCCUGUGCCUUGCAGGUGCUGAGCCUAGGGAGGCCGGCGCACGGCAGCCCUCACUCCUCCGCUCCAGGUGACGUCUGCCCGCCCCCCGCCGCUGGCUUUCUGGGCCCAGCGGUUCUUUGACGCCCUGGUGAGACCGUUACCCACCCGCCCUCCAUAGCUCCUCGGGGGAGUCAGUGCCGGGCUGCAGCACACAUUGCCUUUGCAGGGACCCGACUUUGGGGAGUUUGCUCAGGUCCCAGUCCAGCUAGAGAAAACAAGGAUAUUAAGAGAACUACUUUCUGGAGGGCUGAAGGAAAUUCAAAAUGAUUUAGACCUUCUCAUGUGUUAGAAAUAAUCCCUGCGGCAUGCACCCUGCGUCCCCUUCGAGUUUGAGCAACCAUCGUGCUGCUGCACCUUCCCAUUAAUUGUUCGAACGAAAGCUUUUCUCUUUAAGUGACAUUACUUUGGCAUGAAUUUUAAAGGCAAAAAUGAGAGAAUUUCUUGUUUGGAAGCCUACAUAACUUUGACGUCCAAGAGAUCCAGAUUUACUGAUGAAACAGAGAUUUUGAAGAUGUCACAAAGGCACUCAGGUCAAGCUAGCAGUGAAGCAGGAAAUGGGGUGGAUUGUCCUCCAGUUGUCAACUCCAAGUACUCUACCUUCAGAGAUUGUUGUUCCACAUCUUCACUUCAAGAUAAUGGCUACAGUGAGUUAAAAUCUUGUAGCUUUGAUAAUACAGACAAAGACUAUCUUGGAAAAAAAGAAAAAGGCCCAGCAUUACUACAUGAGCACCCUGAAACUUCAAGCCUGGACUUAACACAUCCUUUAGAGUCUCCCACCCAAAAAAAGAAAUUUAUCUUGCUUAGAAAGGAAAAGGAUAAAACCCCAGAACUUUGUGAAACACCUAAAAUCAGUGACAAAAAAUGUUUACCUCGCAGAAGGUUGAAUCUAUCUUUCUCUCUUCUAAAGGGGGACUUUGAAUCACAAAAUAGUUCUUUAGAAAGUAGUAUAAGCCAAGUUCUCAACUUAGAAAAAAAUAUUCCAAGCAGUGCUUCAGGUUUGUCCAGGCCAAAUAAUUUUAGCCCUUUAGUUACUAGCACUUUAAAAACAGAAGAAGUGACUUUGAGCAGUCAAAAAUUGAGGUUUAAUUUUUCUCAGCAAAAGACUUCCACAAUUGAUGAUUCCAAAGAUGAUUGUAACCUAUUUGAAGUUGACUGUAUAUCUCCAAUUCAAGGCAAUAAUUUUAAAGACUCUAUCACACAUGACUUUAGUGAUAGCAGUUUAUGCAUUAAUGAUGAGAAUACAUGUCCAGAGCCCCUGGGCUCCUCUGUUAGUGGAACAACUUGUGGAACAGAUGAGGACAUAUUUGUGACUCCAAUAAGUAAUCUUGUAUCAAACAUUAAAUUUAAUGCAAUUCAAAUACUUUCUCCUUCACCUGAAGUGAAGGGCAAUAUUUCAACGCCUGAAGACAGUGGUUUUAACUCACUUAGCUUGGAGAAAUCAGAAUAUUCCCUCUCUGACCAGGAGGGUUCUUUUCAAGAACUAUUCCAGAAACAUAAGGGGACUCCCAAAGUGGGGGACACCAUAAGAAAGACAAGGCAUCUUAAAAGGUCGAGAAGACUGUCCACCCUUCGGGAGCAAGGCUCACAGUCAGAGACAGAAGAGGAAAAGCAGAUUGUCCACCCUGGCUCUGAAAAAAGAGCAGCAGCUGCUUCUGCUAUCUCAGAGGGUCAACUGAACAGUGAUGAGAGUGGGGAUUCAACCUUUAGUUUAAAGAAUUUAUCAAAGACCCCAGCCUUGCAAUUGGUGCAUGAGCUCUUCAUGAAAAGCAAAAGAAAAAGAAGCCAGCAAAAUAGUGGACAUGAAUUCUUAGAGGAAGGGGAUGGGGGGAAAAUAGCUGUAUUACAGUGUAUACUUGCAGGACUGAUUGGCAAGAAGAUGGGUAUAGAAAAACUGGAUAUCUUAACAGAAUUGAAAUAUAGAAAUUUAAAGCAUAUUCUUGCUAUGGUUUUAGAUUCCUUGACUGCAGAGAGCCUAUGCAGUGUUUGGAAGGUAAGCAGAAAUUGGCGUGAAAUUGUUGUUCAAGAUAAAAAUGCAAAUCGGAGGAGGAAAUUUUAUAUUACGCAACUGAAAACAGAUUCUGAGGGGGCUGCAUUAAAUGUUGAGGAUGCUGCCACUCGGCUCCAGCUUUUAAAUCGCUCAGCUUUAAGAUCUGUGCAGGCACAGGCUAGGAUACCUGGUUCUCAGAGAGAGCAAGGGUCAACAUUUUCUCCCUGGGGAGAAGUUUUGACACCUCUAGCAAGCUCUUCUGUUACUCACUUAAGUAGUAAGCAGGAAGAAUAUGUUAAGGUUGCCAAAACACUUUUUAUUGAUGAAGCAAUAAAACCUUGCCCAAGGUGCCAAUCCCCUGCUAAGUACCAGCCAUAUAAGAAAAGGGGACUGUGUAGCCGCACAGCCUGUGGUUUUGACUUUUGUGUGUUAUGUUUGUGUGCUUAUCAUGGGUCUGAAGAAUGUAGUAGAGGAGCAGCAAAGCCAAGAAAUAGAAAAGAUGCUGUCCCAGGAAGUGCCCAGAGCUGGAGUGCAGUCGCAUGAUCUCACAGGAUCUUGGCUCACUGCAAACUCUACCUCCCAGGUUCAAUCAGUUCUCCUGCCUUAGCCUCCAGAAUAGCUGGGAUUACAGGUUCAUUUUCUCUUGCCACUGCUAUGUAAGAAGUGCCUUUUGCCUCCUGCCAUGAUUCUGAGGCCUCGCCAGCCACAUGGAACUAUAAGUCCAAUUAAAUCUCUUUUCCUUCCCAGUCUCAGCUAUGUCUUUGUCAGUAGUGUGAAAAUGGACUAAUACACCAGCCCAUUAGAGUGUAAUCUUUUAUUUCACUUUGGUGGUAAAAAAGAUUUUAUCACAUUUAAUUUUAGAAAUCAACAAUAAAUAAGUGGUUCUCUUUACUACAGUUACUGUGAAACAAUGGAAUUUGAUGUUUUUUAUAUGUCUGGUUUUAUUUGGGAUUUAAAUAUUACAAUGAAGUAGAUACGAAUGAAAUAGUAUAAAGACUGAAUGCCCAUAUUUUAAUGAUUUUUUAAUGAAACCUUCUGAAGAAUAAAGAUCAGAGUAGAACUUCAAAAGGCAUUUCUUUUUGGUGGGUUUUGUAUUUGUGAUGGGUCAAGAGAUACGUAGGUUAACUAGAAGAAUAUCAUACAGUAUUUGUGUACAGCUUUGUCGAACAGAGGAUCCAGCUACCCAGAAAAAAGUAACACUAUUGUUAUUGUGUAUUUUCAUAACUGACUGGACUAGUUAUCCCAGCUGUGUACUUCUGUAGCAGCUUGUACAUCCUCUGUCAUGGCACUUAGUUCACUUUAUUAAAAUCAGUUGUUAACUUUCUUUCCCUGGAAGCUCUGUGAAGUUCUGGACUAUCAUGUUUGAUUUAAAUACCAUUGCAUCCCUAGCAUCUAGCAUAGUGCCAGGAAAGUAAAAGGUGCUUGGUAAAUAGUUAUUGAACUGUUGCUAUUUUUGGUGCUAUUGGUACUUUCAUCCAAGUAAACCAUUAUAAAAUAGUAACCAAUUUUAUCCUAAUAAUUUAUUAAUUUCUUAAUAUUGAAUUUUCAGUGAUUAAUGCUUUAAUACACAAAAAGUGGGAUCUAAAUGAUUUCUUAAAUUAUAUGUAAAUAUAUAGUCAUGAAUAUAUUUGGUCUAAUCAUUCUUUUAGCUGAUCUUUCUUAGAACCAGUUAGGGUGUAAUGGAAGGAUCCUUAGGCUAGAAGUAAAAAAGCUUAGGUUGGUCUCCUAAACUACUUACUAGUUAUUCCCUUAUGCAAGUUACUAUUGUUUCUGAGCCUAUAUCCUUGAUCUAUAAAUAAAAGUUAGGGAAAAGAAAGUUAAAAGGCAUGAUGUAUUGUGAACCCACUCUUGAAACUCUUACACCAAUUUGCAUUACUACACAUUUGGCUGCAUGUAAAUAGAAUCAAGUGAAAUAGCAUUUGUGGGGAUAUCAAACAUAAAACCUUGAUAAUAUUAUCAUCAUACUGAAUGAAACUAUAAAAUCAACUUCUAACCAGCUUGCCAAAAAAGUGUGUGGCUUAGGCUGGGCAUGGUGGCUCACACCUAUAAUCUCAGCACUUUGGGAGGCUGAGACAGAAGGAUCACUUGAGCCCAAGAGUGUGAGACCAGCCUGGGCAGCAUAGUGAGACCCUGUCUCUACAAAAACUUUAAAACCUAGCUGGACAUGGUGGUAUAUGCUAGUCCCAGCUACUCAGGAGGCUGAGGUUGGAGGAUCACUUGAGCCCAGAAAGCCAAGGUUGAAGUGAGCCAUGAUCACAGCAUUGCACUCCAGCCUAGGAGUGAUUAAAAAAAAAAAAAAAAUCACAGAAAGUAGGGGCCAGUAUUCUAACAGGCAGUCUACCAUUAGUACAUAACAAAACUCUUUGUAGAGCUAUUGGUAAACUCAGUACACAUGUAAUUACAAUGUCAUAGAUGGAAAAUUGCUUUCCUAUUUUAGAAAAUAAGUUGGUCUACCUGGGGGGAAAGAAUUCUAACUGAUGAUAAUUUUGCUUGAAUAAAGUAGUUCCUUAACUCCUGAGUAGCUUCAACAACUGUGUUAUUUGAAAAUCUAAAUGAGUUAAAUGAAUAUGCUAUUAUCCAAGACCUCAGCUCAAAAGAAAGAGAACUGUUCCAGUUCCAAAGUCUUUAUAAUUUAAAGACACAGGGCACGAAAACAAGAGUAAGUAUUACUACAUUCCAGUUAAUGCUACAUUCUUAUCAGUUUUAUAUUAAUAUGUGAGGAAAGCAAUGAGAAAAAUUCACCAAACAUUUGUUGAUGGAUAUACUGUGGGCUCCCAAGGAGGUUCCAAAACGAGGAAUGAUUAAAUUUAGCACUUUAUUUUUGCAUUUUGUUUCACUUCUUAACAGGGAUAUAAGAAAAGAAUAGUAUUAAUUAAGAGGAAAGCCAAUUAAUGUUUUACCUUCUGUUGAUUUGGGAUAAUAACCAUUAAAUCUUUUCUCCCUACGGUCUGUUGCUUUGACAGUCUUGCUAACUGAUGGGUAAGAUUAUUCUUCCUAUUUGACUUCUACUUCGUUUCAGGAAAGACAGGUAUUUUCUGUUUCUAACUCCAUAGUUUAGGGAAAAAUGGCCAGAAACUUGUGGCAAAUAAUAUAAAUAGAAACAACACUUUAAGAGCUAUCUGAUAAUUUUAUACUAGCAUUUCUAUGGGUACAAGUAUGGAUUUAUAUUUAUCCUAGCUAUUGAAAGACUUAAGUCUUAUUAUGGAUUUCCUGGAAAUAAAUUAAGGAUUGAAUUGCUCUUGAUAAAAUAUUUUGAUACUUAGCACUGUGUAAAGCUAAGUUUUUCCAUUACCUUUUCUUAGUUUAUGACACAAAGCAAAAUUAUCAUAAAUGUAUGACACAAAAAUUUACUGAACCUUUUAAAAAUGGUGUCUGUUAUGUUCCUGGUUUGCACUACGUUAUUAUGGCUUCAUUUUCAAUUAUUUCAGUUAAAAAUAGUGUCCCAUAUAGAAAAUGCUCUAAGUGUUUUUAAGAAUUGAAAUGGACCCAUUAUUUCUAUAUGGAGAGGGUAAUUAUUUUAAGGAUUGCACGGAACAUUCCUCUAGGGGGCACCAAAGACUUAUUUAUGAUGAUUUUGGCUUUUUUUUUUUUUUUUUUUUUUUUUUUUUUUUUUCCAAAAAACUAUUGUAGUUUUUAUAUAUUUGAUGUUGAUGUGCUGCGACAUUGCCAGAUAGGGGAAAUGUUCCUUGGGUUAAUUUUUAAAGUGUUUACAGAAUAAAUGUGGGUAAUAGUUAUUACUUAGAGUUGGUAAUUAAAAAGUCUUGCGAGAGUGUGCUAUUUUCCUGGAACACCUUAUUGGUUUCCCCAGAACACCUGUUGGUGGGCCCCAGUUUGUGCUUUGGCCGUCUGUGUUUACUUGCCCAACAGCUCUGCACUGCUGGCUCCCUCACCGUGGACUGUGGAGCCAGAGGAGUAGAAGGAGCUGUGGAAACCUGGCAGGUGAGUGCUGUUAUGAAUGGUGGUGGUGUGCUACCAGUGAUUUCCCUCUGGUAUUCUCAUUCCUGCAGAAAGGUAGUGUUCGGUUCAGGUCCUAAUCUCAUCCUGCCUAGAUUACUAUAAAUGCCUCCUAACAUGUUUCUUUCUUCUCAUGUUUCAAACAUAAGAAUCUGAAUUUGGUGAGAUUCAUAUUCUCCCUAUCUGACUCUCUCCUAAAGGUCCACUGCUUGGUUAUUUGUACCAAAAUGUGGCCCCAAUCAUGCUGCUUCCUACUAAAAAUGUAGCAGAAUUUAGAAUCUCCUAAUGGUCCUAACUUUCUAGCAAUCUUUCCCAUCAUUCUACUCUAUACACUUUGUUCUAGCCAAACUAGAUUCCUUGUUUUCUAAACUUCUCAUGUGAUUUCUGUACUUACUUCCUUCUUUCCGUAUUAAAUCACAAAAAAAUCCUGUGAAUCCUUAGUUUCUUUCCAUGAAUCAUUUUCUGAUCUCUCCAACAAGAUGAGAUUUUUUUUACCUUCAUUGAAUGUGGUGUUUAUUUAUACUUUCCUCAUGGUAUUUCUGGCAUGUUGUAUUUAUGCUAAAUUCUUUACUUGUCUUCUACUAUUAGCAAGUUCCUUAAGGACUGUUUUCUCUUUCUCCUUUCUUUAGCAUGGUUUCUCGUGCAUGACAAAAUGUGCAGCAAGUAUUAAUUGAAUUGCUGAAGUAAUGAUGACUGGUGUCAUGUAAUAUGACAAAUUUCAUCCAAAUCUCAAUUUUCUUUACUUUUUCAACUGGUAUCAUGGGGAACUUGAAAUAUAGUUGUUUUUGAGAGAGCUAAAAUAGAGACACCACCCUCUUCAUACUCCCUUUGCUCUCACCCUCCAACUACUUGGAGUUUGGACAGCAUUCUAUUUUUCUAUUCCUCCUUGCCUUUGCCAAUGCUGUUUUCCCUCUUGGAUUGUUGUUCUCUCCCUGCCCGAUGUGUCUUACUCCAACUGGCCUUUGAAGGCUACUCAGGAGUCAUUCAACUUAUCACCUCCCUGCCAUGCCCAGGCUGGUUGUAUCUUUUUCCUCAGCACGGCUGGGGCCCCUUUAUGCUGUGUUAUCACAGCAUUUAUCAGAACUUUUAUGUUUUCCGCAUUAGACAGUGAUUUCCUUUGACCUGUUCUGCGUCCCCAACACUUACUUCGUUUAGUGUCUCAGCACUGAACAGAUGUUCAAUUUAGCAAAAGCCUUCCCUGCCACCUCUUCUGUGCCCAGUCUAACUUAGGUAUACACACAGUGCUAUAGGGCAAAGAGGGAGCACCUAAGUCAAACAGUUCUUCCCUAUUGUUAAAAAUGAGGAAAUGUAGGCUAGACGUGGUGGCUCAUGACUGUAAUCCCAGCACUUUGGGAGGCCAAGGUGGGUGGAUUACCUGAGCUCAGGAGUUCGAGACCAGCCUGACCAACAUGGUAAAACCCUGUCUCUACUAAAAAUACAAAAAUUAGCUGGGCAUGGUGGCGCAUGCCUGUAAUCCCAGUUACUCAGGAGGCUGAGGCAGCAGAAUUGAUUGAACUUGGGAGGCGGAAGUUGGAGUGAGCCAAGUUCAUGUCACUGUACUCCAGCCUGGGCAACAGAAUGAGACUCUGUCCCUUAAAAAAAAAAAAAAAAAAAAAUGAGGAGGUGUCAAGGCUGCUGAUAUAAAAGAUGUCAUUUUUUUCUUCUUUGCUGUGAGGGAUAUAUAAACUGCUACCUCCCUCCUUGUGUACUGAUACAGAGUAGUAUUUGCACUCAUUUUCCAGUUAAUUUGUAAGUACUCUUGAAUUGUUUUAUAGGUGUGUAAAUGUCCCAAGGGCAAGGGCUGUUCUUGCCUCCCUCUAGUGCUCUAGUUUCUGCUACAGGUACUAUAAUCAGAUAGAGACACAGGAAAUGUUGACUAAAACAGCUGUAUAAUCCUGAAACAGUGACACCAAUUAAAAUAUUUAUGUUUUUUCUCUUCUUUCCCCUUGCUGUCAGUAUGCAUACAUUUUUUUUUAUAUAUCUUUACCAUUGGUGGCAAAUUUUCAGUUUGGCCAGGCAGGAAACUAUAUGUCUUACAGAUAUUAUCUCAUUAUGUUAAGAGCAAACAUGUGAGGGUGGUACCAUUAUUAUCUACAAUUUCUCUUCCAGAGAAGGAAACCAAGGCUUAGAGGAGCUUAAAAAUAUGUUCAUUUCACUUUAGUAAAUUUAGAGCUGGAGUGAAAAAAAUGGGAGUUGUUUGAUUCCAGAUAUUUCAUCUUGGCUUUCUACCUGCUCAUACUGCCCUCAUAGCACCCCUCUCCUGCAUCAGCCAGACUUUGGUGCUGCUAACCCCUGAUUCAUUAGGGGUCACUUGCUGUUGAUUUGGCCUUGGGUAAGGAGAUUGAAAAUUCAAGUUAUUGGAGUUCUUUUUUUCUGACCACUGAUAUCUGAUUCAGGGAUUAAAAGUUGAGAUCAUUUAUUUUGACCAAUCUAAUAUUCUUAUGUUUUAAUAACAUAAUCUUUAUUACUUUAUUAAGUGUGGUCCAUUCAUUUGACAAAUAUUUAUUGAGCAUUUACUGUAUUGUGUCAGCCUUUGUUCUAGGUGCUGGGGCUACAGGAGAGACCAACACAGGCCAAAAAAAUCCCUUAGAGCUAAAAUCCAUUUUAAAAAAAGAGAAGAAGAAACAAAGGAAAAGGAGGAUAAGAGAAAAAGAAAGUAUUCUCUACUAGUGAAAAUUACAACAUCCUAAAGCAAUAUUAAGAGUUUUCAAACUUUGAUGAGGGAAGGGUUAAAAAUUGAAUUAUCUCAUCAGUCUGUGCAAGAAACAAAGUAAUGUAAUGGAAUAUAUUGACAAUUAGAAUAAAUCUAAACCAGCAGGUCCAGAUGGUAAUUAUCUUGGGUAAGUUAGGAAGUUGCCUAAUGAAUAUAUUAAACUAAUUAUGUUCCUUUUUCAAAAAAAAAUUUAUGAACUGUUAAGUUAGGAAAUAAGGAGAAAAAAGUUGUUGUCCAGUUAAAUGUCAUAAGGACGUGGGUAGUUGUUAUCCAGUAUAGAUAAGAUAGAUAAUUUGACAAAAGUAAAAAUAACCAAUGAUUAUUUUAAAAAUGGAAAUAAGCAAUAUAUAAAAUUUAUAACCCACAUUUCUAAAUCUUUUUACCACAUGCAGUUACUUUAGAGAUUGGAAUGUGGGGCUGGUACCACAUCAUUCCAGGUGGAGUUGCCAUCCAGCUUCUAGGAAAAACACUCUAAUGCACUGUCCUGUCAUUCUGAGUCAUUUGUGUAUACAACAUUUAAGUAUAGUUUAGUUAUAUAGAAAUAUAUGAAGACAGCCCCAGUGAGAACAGAGGCUAUUCAUUCAGAGCUUGCUAUAUAUAGCCAGGGAGUCAGCCUCCAUCACUUGUAUUUUGCAGAGACUCAAAUAUAGGCAAAGAAUUAGGAAAUCUUUAUAGUGAAAAAAAAAGAGAUGAUUUCAGGCAUGCUCCCAUUGGAGGCUGUUAACAUUGGAAGAUAAAAAUGAGAAUCUAGUGGGCGUCCUAUGUGAUUGAUCUAGGGAACAUGCUUGGCUUUUUUUGUUGGUCUUGAGUGGGAAGAGAGGGCAAAAUUAGGGAAGCUGGCAGUUACCAACCAAGUCCAUGCCAUUCUGAGCCUAUUGCUGCAAAAGUUGUGGUUUGGCUUCCAAGGCUGACUGCUGCCAGAGUUUUGUUAGACAUGGUGUGGCCACUGUCCGUUUGCAUAUUCAGAUUCUCAGCCAUAUAGAUAUCCCACUUCUAUCAAAAAUUAAAAUCACAAUGAUCAUAUGAAUUUUAUCUCUUGGUGCUAUUUCUGUUCACACUCAGAAAAGUUUAGAACAAGGCUUAAGUUGGACCCUACCACACCAAAUUUAAAGAAGGAUUGAUACCUUAAAAUCAUUAAACAACAGGUAGAAUGCCUGAAAAUAUGCUCCUGAUUGUCAAGGAGAUAUUAACAGAUGCUUACACUAGCCAGCCUCUUAAACAGUACUUGGGAGAAUCAUUACAUAAAUUCCUGCAGUUUUUCACCCUAAACAAGCUACAUAAAAUUCCCCAAACCAAAUUAAUCCUUGUACUUCAGAAGUCAGCCUUCGUGGUUUUUGGUUUGAGGCUCAUAUUUGAAACUCUAUAAUCUUUUUCUCUGUUGAUAGCAGCUUAAUAUGGUAUCACUUUUGUCCCACAGCUAUAUUGGUUUCUCAUAUCAUAGUUUUAGCUGUUUUGCAGGGUGACUGUCUGAGAUGUUCUCCAGGAUUCCCCAAGCUGAAUUUCGGGUGUACAAAAAAUCUCUAUGUAAUACCAUCUCAAACAAACCCUUCAAAUUUGCUGAUUAUAUGUCCAGAUUUAGAAUAAACAGAAACUUAAUUUCAUUUAUGUUUAUAUUUUCAUUUCCCAUUAAAGACUUUGAUUUUAAACUAUCUUGGUUUCAACAAUGACAUGGAAAAAAAAAAAGGCUUUUCUACAGUUUUGGAAAAACUGGCUAGGGGCUGGGUGCAGUGGUUCAUGCCAGUAAUCCCACCACUUUGGGAGGCUGAGGCAGGUGGAUUACUUGAGGUCAGGAGUUAAAGACUGGCCUGGUCAACAUGGUGAAAUCCUGUCUUUACUAGAAAAAAAAAUAGCUGGGCAUGGUGGUACAUGCCUGUAGUCCCAGGUACUUAGGAGGCUGAGGCAGGAGAAUUGCUUGAACUUUAAAGGCGAAGGUUGUAGUGAACGGAGAUUGCACUACUGCAUUUCAGCCUGGGUGACAGAGCAAGACUCCAUCUCAUGGAAAAAAAAAAAGAAAAGAAAAAAACUGGCUAGGGUUUAUCAUUUGGGGAGCAAAGACAGAAUAUAAUGUGGUAUAAGUAAAUAGUUCAAGUACUUAUUGUGCCUCCCGAGUAGCUGGGAUUACAGGCAUGUGCCACCAUACCCGGCUAAUUUUUGUAGCAUUAGUAGAGAUGGGGUUUCACCAUGUUGCCCAGGCUGGUCUUGAACUUCUGACCUCAGGCGAUCUGCCUGCCUUGGCCUCCCAAAGUGUUGGGAUUACAGGCGUGGGCACUGUGCCUAGCUGAGUUGUGUAACUUAAAUGGGUGAUCCGAGAUAUGUCAAUUGUAUCUCAAUGAAGUUGUUACCAAAUAAAUUACCAAAAUACUAGAAUAGUUUAUAACCUAGGCAUUUGGGUUCAAAUUACUGUCUUUGUGGUUCUCAUGCCAUUCUUUAAUUUUGUGAGAUUGCUUUUAAAGAGAAAGGCCACAUCACAUAGUGGUCAAAGAGCAAGGGCUUUAGAAUCAGACUUGUGGCUUUAGCACUUUCAAGCUAUGUACCUUUGAGCAAAUUAUCCCACCUUUCUAAGUUUCCUAAACUGUAAAUUGAGACUAAUAUCUAUCUCUUUGGGCUAUUGUUAGGAGCCCAUAGCAAAUAUGUAGUAAGUGUUAGCUACUAUUAAUGUUAAAACAAAUGGACUUCCCAUCAGCAUGGGCUAUCUAAAACAGAGAUGAACAAAUCCUGCCUGUGAGUAAAGCACCAUGCAGAAUGAUCACAAUGGAGAAUAACUCCAGAAGUUCGUUUCAACAAAGAUCUAGUGAAUGGUAGGCACUCUGCAGUGGGUGUGGCGGGGCUGGGAGGAGGUUAAAAUAAAGUGUAGCUCCCUCAACCCCUAGAAAUGUACUGUCUGGUGGGUGGCACUAGGGGAAGAGGGUGUACCUCUUUGUACCAUUGAUUUUAAUAUAUUUUUGAGAUAUGGGUUUGCAUCAGGUAUUCAAGAGCAAGAGGAGAGACCAAUGAAAGGAAUUUAUGGGAAGGUAUACUGCAGGAGAUGAGACCCGAGCUGCGUCUUGAAUGAGAAAAUUUAGCCUGAUAAAGGCUGGGAGAGUUUUUCUGGUGGUGUAAACAGCACAAGCAAAUGCCUGAAAAGCCCAUUUAUAUGCUGACUCUCAAAUUGCUGUCUCCUAAAUUCUGGGUUCCUAUGUCAAAUGUAAGUGAAAAUCUUCCAUUGGAUGACUAAUACUUUUUUUCCCCAAACUUUUAAGUUCAGGGGUACAUGUGCAGGAUGUGCAGGUUUGUUACAUAGAUAAAUGUGUGCCAUGACGGUUUGCUGUACAGAUCAUCCCAUCAUCUGGGUGUUAAGCCCAGCAUCCAUUAGCUGUUUUUCCUGAUGCUCUCUCUCCUCCCGCUUUCUACCCUCUGACAGGCCCCAGUGUAUGUUGUUUCCCCCCAUGUGUCCAUGUGUUAUCAAUCAGCUCCCACUUAUAAAAGAGGACAUGCAGUAUUUCUGUUCCUGUGUUCGUUUGCUGAGGGUAAUGGCUUCCAGCUCCAUCUAUAUCCCUACAAAGGACAUGAUAUUAUUCCUUCUUAUAGCUGCAUAGUAUUUCAUGGUAUACGUGUGCCAUAUUUUCUUUAGCCAGUCUAUCACUGAUGGGGAUUUAGGUUGGUUCUCUCUUUGCUAUUGUGAAGAGUGUCACAGUGAACAUAUGCAUGCAUGCGUCUUUAUAAUAAAUGAUUUCUAUUCCUUUGGGUUUAUACCCAGCAAUGGGAUUGCUGGGUCAAAUUGUAUUUCUGCAUCUAGGUCUUUGAGGAAUUGCCACACUGUCUUCAACAAUGGUUGAGCUAAUUUAUACUCCUACCAACAAUGUAAAAAGUGUUCCUUUUAGUUCGUAAUCUAGUCAACAUCUGUUGUUGUUUUUUUCUCCUCCUCGUCCUCCUCCUUCCUGUACUUUAAGUUCUGAGGUACAUGUGCAGAUCUUACAGGAUUGUUGCAUAGGUACACACAUGCCAUGGCGGUUUGCUGUCUCCAUCCCCCCAUCACCUACAUCGGGCAUUUCUCCCAGUGUUAUCCCAACAUACCCAGUGUGUGAUGUUCCCCUCCCUGUGCCUAUGUGUUCUCAUUGUUCAAUACCCACCUAUGAGUGAGAACUUGCAGUGUUUGGUUUUCUGUUCUUGUGUCAGGUUGCUGAGAAUGAUGGUUUCCAGAUGCAUCCAUGUCCCUACAAAGGACACGAACUCAUUGUUUUUUUUAUAGUAUUCCAUAGUGUAUAUGUGCCACAUUUUCUUUGUCUAGUCUAUCAUUGAUGGGCAUUUGGGUUGGUUCCAGGUCUUUGCUGUUGUAAACAGUGCCACAGUGAACAUAUGUGUGCAUGUGUUUUUAUAAUAGAAUGAUUUAUAAUCCUUUGGGUAUAUACUCAGUAAUGGGAUUGCUUGGGCAAAUGGAAUUUCUAUUUCUAUAUCUUUAACGAAUCACCACACUGUCUUCCACAAUGGAUGAACUAAUUUACACUCCCAACAGUGUAAAAGUGUUCCUAUUUCUCCACAUCCUCUCCAGAAUCUGUUGCCUCCAGAUUUUUUAAUAAUCACCAUUCUAACUGGCAUGUGAUGGUAUCUCAAUGUGGUUUUGAUUUGCAUUUCCCUAAUGACCGCUGAUGAUGAGCAUUUUUCAUAUAUUUGUUGGCCUCAUAAAUGUCUUUUUU
Callithrix jacchus (white-tufted-ear marmoset) is the source of this 13642-nucleotide RNA transcript. It is a transcript of the gene named F-box protein 43, with no coding region annotated. Lineage: Eukaryota; Metazoa; Chordata; Mammalia; Primates; Cebidae. The record is from RefSeq and is a predicted model, not a curated record.